RNAcentral lists this long non-coding RNA (427 nucleotides) under Elaeis guineensis (African oil palm). Its description in RNAcentral is "long non-coding RNA (EGUI_LNC035754)". The record is from RNAcentral. Lineage: Eukaryota; Viridiplantae; Streptophyta; Magnoliopsida; Arecales; Arecaceae.
UAAGAGUUCCGCUCUGCCGGCAAAUUUCAACGGAAAAUAUAAUACUUUUUCCGGCGACUAGAGUUUCGCCGCAAAAUCUCUGUUUGACACUUUUUCCGGCGAGCAGGUUUUCGCCGCAAAAUCUCAGCAGACACAUUUGCCGGCGAUUAUUUUUCGCCGGUAAAAACAGGGGGCCCCUUUUUUUUUUUCGUUUCACCGCGAAUCAAACUUCACAUUUGAAGUGUUUUUCCCCCCCUUCUGCCUUUUUGCUUUCCUUCUGCCCUUAACCAAUCGUUCCAUGCCCUAGGCCGAGCCAUUCCAAAGACUCUGCCACACCGUCGGCCUCCUUUCUCCACGGUCCNNNNNNNNNNNNNNNNNNNNUCUCUCUCUCUCUCUCUCUCUCUCUCUCUCUCUCUCCUCUCUCCUCUCUCCUCUGCAUCAAUCUUUU